This 467-nucleotide ribosomal RNA is filed under the name uncultured bacterium. RNAcentral's name for it is "bacterial SSU rRNA". It matches the Rfam family "Bacterial small subunit ribosomal RNA", at positions 329 to 794 of the family's 1533-position model. The record is from RNAcentral.
UCCCAGACUCCUACGGGAGGCAGCAGUGAGGAAUAUUGGUCAAUGGCCGUAAGGCUGAACCAGCCAAGUAGCGUGAGGGAAGACUGCCCUAUGGGUUGUAAACCUCUUUUAUGCGGGGAUAAAGGUGUCCACGUGUGGAUGUUUGCAGGUACCGCAUGAAUAAGGACCGGCUAAUUCCGUGCCAGCAGCCGCGGUAAUACGGAAGGUCCGGGCGUUAUCCGGAUUUAUUGGGUUUAAAGGGUGCGCAGGCGGAGGUGCAAGUCAGCGGUCAAAUUGCGGGGCUCAACCCCGUACUGCCGUUGAAACUGGCAGUCUCGAGUUGGAGAGAAGUAUGCGGAAUGCGCGGUGUAGCGGUGAAAUGCAUAGAUAUCGCGCAGAACUCCGAUUGCGAAGGCAGCAUGCCGGCUCCACACUGACGCUGAGGCACGAAAGCGUGGGUAUCGAACAGGAUUAGAUACCCGGGUAUU